GAUGAACGCUGGCGGCGUGCCUAAUACAUGCAAGUCGAGCGAACAGAUGAGGAGCUUGCUCCUCUGACGUUAGCGGCGGACGGGUGAGUAACACGUGGAUAACCUACCUAUAAGACUGGGAUAACUUCGGGAAACCGGAGCUAAUACCGGAUAAUAUAUUGAACCGCAUGGUUCAAUAGUGCAACACGCCUUUCCCGCCACUUCUAGACGGCUCCGCGCCGCAUCAGCUAGUUGGUAGGGUACCGGCGUACCAAGGCGACGAUGCGUAGCCGGCCUGAGAGGGGGAUCGGCCACACUGGAACUGAGACACGGUCCAGACUCCUACGGGAGGCAGCAGUGGGGAAUGUUCGGCAAUGGGCGAAAGCCUGACGGAGCAACGCCGCGUGGGUGAUGAAGGUCUUCGGGUCGUAAAGCUCUGUUGUUGGGGAAGAACAGAUGUGGGAGUAGCUAUGCAGGUCUUGACGGUACCUAAUCAGAAAGCCACGGCUAACUACGUG
This 497-nucleotide ribosomal RNA is filed under the name uncultured bacterium. Its description in RNAcentral is "partial 16S ribosomal RNA". It matches the Rfam family "Bacterial small subunit ribosomal RNA", at positions 28 to 507 of the family's 1533-position model. The record is from RNAcentral.